This 395-nucleotide ribosomal RNA is filed under the name uncultured bacterium. RNAcentral's name for it is "partial 16S ribosomal RNA". It matches the Rfam family "Bacterial small subunit ribosomal RNA", at positions 523 to 918 of the family's 1533-position model. The record is from RNAcentral.
AUACGUAGGGUGCAAGCGUUAAUCGGAAUUACUGGGCGUAAAGCGUGCGCAGGCGGUUUUGUAAGACAGUGGUGAAAUCCCCGGGCUCAACCUGGGAACUGCCAUUUUGACUGCAAGGCUGGAGUGCGGCAGAGGGGGAUGGGAUUCCGCGUGUAGCAGUGAAAUGCGUAGAUAUGCGGAGGAACACCGAUGGCGAAGGCAAUCCCCUGGGCCUGCACUGACGCUCAUGCACGAAAGCGUGGGGAGCAAACAGGAUUAGAUACCCUGGUAGUCCACGCCCUAAACGAUGUCAACUGGUUGUUGGGGAUUUAUUUUCUCAGUAACGAAGCUAACGCGUGAAGUUGACCGUCUGGGGAGUACGGCCGCAAGGUUAAAACUCAAAUGAAUUGACGGGG